GGGGGGACCAUCCUCCAAGGCUAAAUACUCCUGACUGACCGAUAGUGAACCAGUACCGUGAGGGAAAGGCGAAAAGAACCCCGGCGAGGGGAGUGAAAAAGAACCUGAAACCGUGUACGUACAAGCAGUGGGAGCACCCUUCGGGGUGUGACUGCGUACCUUUUGUAUAAUGGGUCAGCGACUUAUAUUCUGUAGCAAGGUUAACCGAAUAGGGGAGCCGCAGGGAAACCGAGUCUUAACUGGGCGAAUUAGUUGCAGGGUAUAGACCCGAAACCCGGUGAUCUAGCCAUGGGCAGGUUGAAGGUUGGGUAACACUAACUGGAGGACCGAACCGACUAAUGUUGAAAAAUUAGCGGAUGACUUGUGGCUGGGGGUGAAAGGCCAAUCAAACCGGGAGAUAGCUGGUUCUCCCCGAAAGCUAUUUAGGUAGCGCCUCGUGAAUUCAUCUCCGGGGGUAGAGCACUGUUUCGGCUAGGGGGUCAUCCCGACUUACCAACCCGAUGCAAACUGCGAAUACCGGAGAAUGUUAUCACGGGAGACACACGGCGGGUGCUAACGUUCGUCGUGAAGAGGGAAACAACCCAGACCGCCGGCUAAGGUCCCAAAGUCAUAAUUAAGUGGGAAACGAAGUGGGAAGGCUCAGACAGCCAGGAUGUUGGCUUAGAAGCAGCCAUCAUUUAAAGAAAGCGUAAUAGCUCACUGGUCGAGUCGGCCUGCGCGGAAGAUGUAACGGGGCUAAAUUAUGCACCGAAGCCGCGGCAGCGAUAUGUAAAUAUUGUUGGGUAGGGGAGCGUUCUGUAAGCCUGUGAAGGUG
This 814-nucleotide ribosomal RNA is filed under the name Morganella morganii. RNAcentral describes it as "partial 23S ribosomal RNA". It matches the Rfam family "Bacterial large subunit ribosomal RNA", at positions 446 to 1258 of the family's 2925-position model. Lineage: Bacteria; Pseudomonadati; Pseudomonadota; Gammaproteobacteria; Enterobacterales; Morganellaceae. RNAcentral also lists the same sequence under 1 other name. The record is from RNAcentral.